GUCUUCUUGUUAUAUUUAGGAAGUCUGGCCUGCCCGGUGAAAUAUUUUAACGGCCGCGGUAUUCUGACCGUGCAAAGGUAGCAUAAUCAUUAGUCUUUUAAUAGAGGGCUGGUAUGAAGGGUUUAACGAGGUGUUGACUGUCUCAUUUAAUUUGAUUUUUAGAAUUUAAUUUUUUAGUUAAAAAGCUAAAAUAUUAUUGGAAGACGAGAAGACCCUAUAGAGCUUUAUAUUUUUAUUAUUAAUUUAUUAUAGUUUAUUAUUAUUUAUUAUUAAUGAAAAGUAUUUUGUUGGGGUGACAAAAAUAUAUAAUUAACUUUUUUAUUUUAUUUACAUUGAUAUAUGAAUAUUAGAUCCAAUCUUAUUGAUUGUUAGAUUAAGUUACCUUAGGGAUAACAGCGUAAUCCCUCCCCAGAGUUCAUAUUUACGGAGGGGCUUGCGACCUCGAUGUUGGAUUAAGAUAAUAAUUAGGUGCAGCCGCUUAAUUAAUAGGUCUGUUCGACCUUUAAAUUCUU
RNAcentral lists this ribosomal RNA (512 nucleotides) under Polycanthagyna melanictera. RNAcentral describes it as "partial 16S ribosomal RNA". It matches the Rfam family "Bacterial large subunit ribosomal RNA", at positions 1830 to 2597 of the family's 2925-position model. The record is from RNAcentral. Lineage: Eukaryota; Metazoa; Arthropoda; Insecta; Odonata; Aeshnidae.